AAGGCCCUGGGCUUGCCCUGUGGUGUCAGGGCCAUGACCACCCACCCACACAGGAGCCUGGAGCCUUCCCCCAGUGCCUGCCCUGGCCAGGCCUCCUCUGUAGGUGUGGGUAGGCCUGGGAACCCCGGCCCUGAACAGCCUCAGAGGGCUUCGGUGUUGGAGUGAGCUGGGACCAUAAAACUCACAAGCUCCAAGUUCCCAGGCUCUUUGUCAGCCCACAGAGCCCUGUCACCUCACAGCUAAUGCAGGCAGUGGCCAGCGAUCCCCUGGGAGCGGUUUAAAAGCGCAAGUCUGGUUUUUAGAAAAAGCAGCUGAGGUUAUAGUAAGCAGCUGACAGUUCCCCCACAGCUUCAAGCUGUAAGCAGCAAAGUGAAAGAGGGGAAGGAGCGUCCUGAGUGGCGUUCUCAUAGGAGAGUCAUGUCCACCUGGGAAGCAGGGAGAUUUGGGCAAUCAUCCCACUCUUCCAGGAAGACAGCCAAAACCCCCACUGCCCCACAGUGAUGAUUAAAGUGCACAUUUCAACAGGCUUUGUGACAGACACUCCUGGCGGCAAGGUCUGGGAAAAGGAGGCUGCCAGUAAACCCCCUGCUAGCCUUGUUUUCUCUGAACUUCUGGCCCCAGUGGGAAAGGAAAUUAAAACUUCAUUUUUAAUUUUUAGUUAUGACCCAUUGUGCUGCAGGGUCAUGGCCGGGGGUUUAGAACACCUAGCGGUUUCCUGCUCCUCUCCGUGGAUUGGAAAAUGAGGCUUCGUGAGGCCCACCGUCCCGUGUGGCAUCAUCUGUGGGGCUGACAGCACCUGCCCCCUAGGUCGGUUGUCCCACUCCCACUCAGCACAGCCGCCACGCCAGGCUGCUGGGAGUGUCUGAGCUUCAGAACCCUGUUCUGGAGUGAAUGGAACAUACUCGACACCCUUGGAGCCAAGCAACUGAGAUGGACCAUUUUCAAUAGACUUCAGGGCCCUAUCAGAAAAUGCCAUCAAAUGAUUCCCACUGCUUUGGCCUGAAUACCCCCUCACUCAGCCACUCCUUCUGGCUGCGGCCCCUCCAGCUUCUGCUAGCAAAUGUCCCAUAGAGGGUCAAGGGACACUCCUCCUUCUCCCAGGAAGCUGGCACUUGGGUAUGCAACAACCUGCCUUCAAACGCCAGUGGCGGACCACCCUCGCCCCUGUCUAGUGUCCUUGGCAACCAGCAAGUGCUGAGCCUCCUGUUGGUGCUUCUCCAACCCACCAGUGACUUGGCCCGCAAACCACCUGGAAAAGGAGUCUCCAGAGACCCCGGCGCACAGCAGGCCAGGAGGCAGCUGCCCCGGGAUUCAGAGCAACCUCGGGGCAACCCUCCCUCCUCCAAAGGCUAAUUCUAGAAGAGGCAGGUCCUCUUUCCUUCGAUGUCAAUGUCCAUUAUGAAACAGUAAUUUUUAAAUAUUCAGGUGACACGGAGAUGCGCCUGCUACACGUCAGCGUCCUUCACAUGUAACAGCCGAAGCUGCAAUUUGAAUUUUCCUGCCAACGUGAGGAAGCCGGGAUUCGAACCGGGGAGACAAAAGGGGUCCCGAACAUGUCCUUGGAUUUAAUAGAUGGUCGGAAAUCAGGGGCAGCGGAGCUGUUAAAUGCGUCACGCACGCUUCUUCGCAGUCUCCUGAGCUCGCCACUUCCCCCAGCUUCUAGUGAACGACUUGGGAUUCAGCCUCCGGGAGGGUCUCUCCUCAAGUCGCUAAAAUGCAGAAUCGCCGUGCCGGGGGAGGGAGGCCUGGCUCUUUCCCGCU
This 1761-nucleotide long non-coding RNA is filed under the name Homo sapiens (human). Its description in RNAcentral is "non-protein coding lnc-FOXC1-4:2". The record is from RNAcentral. Lineage: Eukaryota; Metazoa; Chordata; Mammalia; Primates; Hominidae.